RNAcentral lists this long non-coding RNA (225 nucleotides) under Elaeis guineensis (African oil palm). RNAcentral's name for it is "long non-coding RNA (EGUI_LNC069083)". Lineage: Eukaryota; Viridiplantae; Streptophyta; Magnoliopsida; Arecales; Arecaceae. The record is from RNAcentral.
UGACCACUUGCUAGAGAAACUCGACCGAGUCAUCAUAUUAUAAAUAAUAAUUCUAAUAGCUGAUGAGCACCAAGCCUUUGGACCUCCAAUGAUCAUCAUACUAAUGGACCCAUUAUCACCCAACUUAAUAAGAGGCUAUGAUUUAAUUAUCACCAUAACUAUCUCAUUUUAGGGACCUAAUAAUUUAGAGAAUUUACUUUAUGAAUUAAAAAAAGAGUAGAGAAG